GAGACACUAGUAGAACUGGUAAAAUACACUGCCUUGUCAAGGCAUAGAUGCGGGUUAAAACCCCGCGUGUUUCA
This is a non-coding RNA of Esox lucius (northern pike), 74 nucleotides long. NCBI's taxonomy places the organism in Eukaryota, Metazoa, Chordata, Actinopteri, Esociformes, Esocidae. The record is from Ensembl.